AGAGUUUGAUCCUGGCUCAGAUUGAACGCUGGCGGCAUGCUUUACACAUGCAAGUCGAACGGUAACAGGUCUUCGGAUGCUGACGAGUGGCGAACGGGUGAGUAAUACAUCGGAACGUGCCUAGUAGUGGGGGAUAACUACUCGAAAGAGUAGCUAAUACCGCAUGAGAUCUACAGAUGAAAGCAGGGGACCUUUGGGCCUUGUGCUACUAGAGCGGCUGAUGGCAGAUUAGGUAGUUGGUGGGGUAAGGCUUACCAAGCCUGCGAUCUGUAGCUGGUCUGAGAGGACGACCAGCCACACUGGGACUGAGACACGGCCCAGACUCCUACGGGAGGCAGCAGUGGGGAAUUUUGGACAAGGGGCGAAAGCCUGAUCCAGCAAUGCCGCGUGCAGGAUGAAGGCCCUCGGGUUGUAAACUGCUUUUGUACGGAACGAAAAGCCUGGGGCUAAUAUCUCCGGGUCAUGACGGUACCGUAAGAAUAAGCACCGGCUAACUACGUGCCAGCAGCCGCGGUAAUACGUAGGGUGCAAGCGUUAAUCGGAAUUACUGGGCGUAAAGCGUGCGCAGGCGGUUUUGUAAGACAGUGGUGAAAUCCCCGGGCUCAACCUGGGAACCGCCAUUGUGACUGCAAGGCUAGAGUGCGGCAGAGGGGGAUGGAAUUCCGCGUGUAGCAGUGAAAUGCGUAGAUAUGCGGAGGAACACCGAUGGCGAAAGGCAAUCCCCUGGGCCUGCACUG
Molecule: ribosomal RNA, 737 nt
Filed under: uncultured bacterium
Lineage: Bacteria
Description: bacterial SSU rRNA
Rfam family: Bacterial small subunit ribosomal RNA
Source: RNAcentral